This 424-nucleotide ribosomal RNA is filed under the name uncultured Flavobacterium sp. Its description in RNAcentral is "bacterial SSU rRNA". It matches the Rfam family "Bacterial small subunit ribosomal RNA", at positions 355 to 776 of the family's 1533-position model. The record is from RNAcentral. Lineage: Bacteria; Pseudomonadati; Bacteroidota; Flavobacteriia; Flavobacteriales; Flavobacteriaceae.
UGAGGAAUAUUGGUCAAUGGGCGCAAGCCUGAACCAGCCAUGCCGCGUGCAGGAUGACUGCCCUAUGGGUUGUAAACUGCUUUUAUACGGGAAGAAACCCCUCCACGUGUGGAGGAUUGACGGUACCGUAAGAAUAAGGAUCGGCUAACUCCGUGCCAGCAGCCGCGGUAAUACGGAGGAUCCAAGCGUUAUCCGGAAUCAUUGGGUUUAAAGGGUCCGUAGGCGGGUCUGUAAGUCAGUGGUGAAAUCUCCCGGCUCAACCGGGAAACUGCCAUUGAUACUGCAGGUCUUGAAUGUUUGUGAAGUAACUAGAAUAUGUAGUGUAGCGGUGAAAUGCUUAGAUAUUACAUGGAAUACCGAUUGCGAAGGCAGGUUACUAACAAAUGAUUGACGCUGAUGGACGAAAGCGUGGGGAGCGAACAGG